Molecule: ribosomal RNA, 518 nt
Filed under: uncultured bacterium
Lineage: Bacteria
Description: partial 16S ribosomal RNA
Rfam family: Bacterial small subunit ribosomal RNA
Source: RNAcentral
AACGAACGCUGGCGGCGUGCCUAACACAUGCAAGUCGAACGGCAUUAGAGAGCUUGCUCUUUAAUUUAGUGGCGCACGAGUGAGUAACGCGUAGAUAAUCUGCAUGGUGAUCUGGGAUAACACCUCGAAAGAGGUGCUAAUACCGGAUAAGCCCACGGGAACUUUGGUUCUUGCGGGACAAGGGGGGGACCUUCGGGCCUUCUGUCAUCAGAUGAGUUUGCGUACAAGUAGCUAGUUGGUAGGGUAAUGGCCUACCAAGGCGACGAUAGUUAGCUUGUCUGAGAUGAUGAUCAGCCACACUGGAACUGAGACACGGUCCAGACUCCUACGGGAGGCAGCAGUGGGGAAUUUUGCGCAAUGGGCGAAAGCCUGACGCAGCAACGCCGCGUGAGUGAUGAAGGCUUUCGGGUCGUAAAGCUCUGUCAAUGGGAAAGAAGUGUAUUGUGGCUAAUAUCCACGAUACUUGACGGUACCCAUAAAGGAAGCACCGGCUAACUCCGUGCCAGCCGCCGCCGUAA